This 356-nucleotide ribosomal RNA is filed under the name uncultured bacterium. RNAcentral's name for it is "bacterial SSU rRNA". It matches the Rfam family "Bacterial small subunit ribosomal RNA", at positions 29 to 408 of the family's 1533-position model. The record is from RNAcentral.
AAUGAACGUUGGCGGCGUGGAUUAGGCAUGCAAGUCGAGCGCUCAUAGCAAUAUGGGAGCGGCGAACGGCGUAGGAAUUCAUAGGAACGUACCCUCAGGUCGGGGAUAGCUACGGGAAACUGUAGGUAAUACCCGAUUAUCUCCGUGGAGCAAAGGUGUGAUUCCGCCUGAGGAGCGGCUUAUGCGAUAUUAGCUAGUUGGUGGGGUAAUGGCCUACCAAGGCAAAGAUGUCUAGGGGGUGUGAGAGCAUGGCCCCCACGACGGAACUGNGACACUGUCCGGACACCUACGGGUGGCUGCAGUCGAGAAUCUUCCGCAAUAGGCGAAAGUCUGACGGAGCGACGCCGCGUGCGGGA